This 263-nucleotide long non-coding RNA is filed under the name Elaeis guineensis (African oil palm). RNAcentral's name for it is "long non-coding RNA (EGUI_LNC027484)". Lineage: Eukaryota; Viridiplantae; Streptophyta; Magnoliopsida; Arecales; Arecaceae. The record is from RNAcentral.
UUUUGUUGGGUCCAUACCAGAGGCUUUACAUUUUGAAAGAAUGUUCUCUUUAUCUUGUACUGGGAGAGCCAUUGCGGUGCUACUUCUGCGAGGACCUGAAGGUGGUAAACGGUUUGUGAUUCUGCCCAAAGGUGGUAAACGGUUUGUGAUUCUGCCCAAAGGUGGUCGCUGCUUGAUGGGAGCAAGUGGUGGCUUGGAGAAUUUAGCAGCAUCUCUGGCAGCUUUCUUCUCAUCAGAUAGUUGGUUUUCGAGGUCUCUAACCU